Molecule: ribosomal RNA, 301 nt
Filed under: uncultured bacterium
Lineage: Bacteria
Description: partial 16S ribosomal RNA
Rfam family: Bacterial small subunit ribosomal RNA
Source: RNAcentral
CAGUAGCCACGGUAAUGCGUAGGGUGCGAGCGUUAAUCGGAAUUACUGGGCGUAAAACGUGCGCAGGCGGUUAUAUAAGACAGAUGUGAGAUCCCCGGGCUCAACCUGGGACCUGCAUUUGUGACUGUACAGCUAGAGUACGGUAGAAGGGGAUGGAAUUCCGCGUGUAGCAGUGAAAUGCGUAGAUAUGCGGAGGAACACCGAUGGCGAAGGCAAUCCCCUGGACCUGUACUGACGCUCAUGCACGAAAGCGUGGGUAGCAAACAGGAUUAGAGACCCCCGUAGUCCCUGUCUCUUAUAC